Pecten maximus is the source of this 2640-nucleotide long non-coding RNA. RefSeq lists it as uncharacterized. The record is from RefSeq and is a predicted model, not a curated record. NCBI's taxonomy places the organism in Eukaryota, Metazoa, Mollusca, Bivalvia, Pectinida, Pectinidae. The transcript is spliced from 7 exons.
AAAUUUCUUCUGUAGGAAAACCAGACCCUCCGUAUGGGGGUUUAGCUAUGUGCCCUUUUGAAGAUCGAGCCACGCUGAGUUGGACAUCCGGCUUCAAUGGCGGGUCUAGUCAAACAUUUAUAGUUGGUAUACGGACAGAUACGCAGAACAGCAUAACAAUCGACAGAAAUAUUAACCAGUCUGACCCAGGACGUGGCCAAAGUGUUACUACAACAGUUACAGGUCUGACAGCUGACACAAAGCAUUUCUUCACUGUAUAUGCUGUUAAUGAAUUUGGGAUCUCAUCUUUGGUCCAGGAAGUUAACUGUACAACACAAGCACGUCCAUCUCUAGCCGAAAGUACAAAUGUAGCAGCAGUUGUCUUGCCGGUCACUGGUGUUCUUAUACUGCUGUUGACAGUUGGUGUCUUGAUUUUUGUCAGACGAAACCGGCAACUGUGCUGUAUGUAAGUAUAUGUACUGUAGAUAGGAAAUUGUGCUGCACGUACUUGGAAAUGCUGAACCUACUGCAUGUGCUGUAUGUAAGUAAAUGUGGUGUACGUGAGUAAAUGUUCUGAUAGUAAGAUGAUGUAGAUAAGUUAAUGUGAUGUAGGUAUGUAACUGUGGUGUAGGUAAGUGAAUAUAUUGUAGGUAAGUAAAUGCUCUGUAUAUAAAUGUGCUGUUAGUAUGUACACGUGUUUAAGCUAAAUAAAUGUGCUAUAUGUAUGUAAAUGUGCUGUGGGUAUGUAAAUUUGCUGUAGUUAUGCAAAUGUGGUUUAUGUUCGCAAAUGCAAUGUAGGUAUGUACAUUUGUUUUGUAAGUAAAUGUGGGGUAUGUAUGUAAAUGUGUUCUAAGUAUGCAAAUGUGCUGUAGGUAUGCAAAUGUGAUGUAGCUUUGCAAAUGUGUUGUAAGUAUGCAAAUGUCCUGUAGGUAGGUACAUGUAUUGUAUGUUCUUAAAUGUGCAGUAGGCAUGAACAUUUCUUGCAGGUAUGUAAAUGUGCUAUAGGUAUGCACAUUUGCUCUAGGUAUGAUAUUAUGUCAUACGUAUGUAAAUGAUUUAUUGGUACAUGUAGGUAUACUUAUUAUUAUUUUGAUACGUCAGCAUACCUUUUAAUUGUGAUGACAGAUGAUUUUUGUUUGUAAAUGCGUAUUUGUCGGUUUAAAAUGUAGGAUUACCUUGACAGAAACACCAAGCGUCAUGGGAUCAAAAACGUAAAUAUGGUUAUCUGUUUAGCAUUCAGAUAAAGUAAUCAAAGCAGCAGCAUUAUUGAAACGAGUUAGCUUUGAAACAAACGCUUGCUCUUGAUCAUGGCAACAUUUCUUAUCUUUCAGAAAUUGUCAACUUCCAAAGCAGACGGAAUCGCAGAAUGUUCAACUUUCAGAUAGAGACGGAAACCCUGAUAGGAAUAAUGAACGGUAAGACUGCAUUCAGAAAAAAAAUUGAAUAAUGCUACAUUUGUAAAAAAAAAAAAAAAUUAAAUCACGUGACCGUCAUUAUUCAUGUUUGUAUUUUUUACGCAGAUCUCCAUAUCAACAACUUGAUCCAAAUGACAUUGCUAAGCCGUCCGUAUAUUCUGAACUUGGAGGGAUUCAGCACAUUUACCAAAACGAUACAGUCGGUGAUGGAGAGGGCGGACAGUACCAGUCUUUGGAGGAACGCUCCGAUCCGAACGCCUAUGAUGAACUUCACAGUUCAGCAUCCGGCGAUAAAGGAACAUAUGUCAAUACCGUCAUCGGCGGAAACAGGAAAUACUGAUACGGACGAGAAAAUGUUUACAGAAGAUAUACAACAUGUCGUAUGGCAUACUGAAUUGUAUGUAAAUUAAACAGAAAUAUUUGUAAUCUGCUGAGAACCGCGUCUGAAAUGUUCUGGAUUUGAAUAGAACAAAUAUUGCCAGCUUCUUAUCAGGCAAAACAAGUACGUCGACAGAUGAAGAUCAUAACCAGUAUAAAAGAACAGGAUACGAAUGUUGUUUUGUUACAAAACGUUAUACCUUUAUAGCCGCUGACUUGUCAUAUGUCAAAUGUAAAACAAGUACGUCGACAGAUGAAGAUCAUAACCAGUAUAAAAGAACAGGAUACGAAUGUUGUUUUGUUACAAACCGUUAUACCUUUAUAGCCGCUGACUUGUCAAAUGUAUAUCAUAGAACAAAACAGCGCUGUGGGAAGGUGGUACUUACCCAGUCAUCCCGUCAAUGUAUCCGGUGUCUGUACAUUAACAGGAAACUAUAUCGGGAAUACCUCGAUAACUAUUUGAUGUUUUUCAUUCGACAAUUUGUUAUAUUUUGCAGCCAGUUAAAGAUUCACUACUGUUAGAUAACCAUUCAACUUGGUUUUACUGAUUUUCCGUAUCAUGCUAAAGUUCCCUUCUUUUCUGAACUUGUGCCUAUUCCAAGACUGUAUAACUAAAAUGUGAAAUGCUGCCAUUCUUAAAGAAACGGAUUGAUCAAGUCCAAUAGUGACAUUAUAAACAUUUUAAGAAUGUUGACCGGUAUUCAAAAACAACGGUAGAGAAUUCGUAGUAGAAAAGCCAUCACAUUGAGAAACACACUUGAAGACAUACAUACAGCUUUUAAGCACCGAUAUUGCAUAGAGAAAUGUGAGAAGUGAUUUCCUUAUGCAUUUCAUUGUUUGCUUAUCAAAAAUAAAAUAUAGUUAUUAU